AUGCUGUGCUCAUGCUUUAAGGACUAUCUUCCUGGAUGCUGUAAUUGUUGCACCUUUGUUGGGCUUAGGAUGGAAGGCGCUGCAAAUAUCUGCUCCAAUCUCUGUCCCAUGUGCAGGGAUGCCUCUCCACUAGACUCAGCUCAAGGCUUCAUCCCCAUGGCCUUGAACACCCCUAGGCUUGUCUUAAUGGAGCACUUGAGCCUGGAAGAGGAGCUGCAGCCAUGCCUGGGGCCUCUCUUCCAGAAAUUGUGAUCUCCUCACAAUAUUGGAGUUUCACUUUUCUCUGACCUUCUGGAGAUGAUAUGGAUGCUCGUCCAAUGCAAAAAUCAUCCAUGUGGUGAAAACAACACUGGAAAAUGUAAGCAACUUCUCAUACUUGAAUGUAGGAAGAGCACCUGUAGGGCUGAGAGAGAAAACACAGGAGAUAGCUUGCUGUUUACCAGAAGGCAGUCUGGACCCGUGAAAGAAGGUAUUACCUCAUGUAAACAGCUGCUGGGCAAUCUGGCUUGGUGGAUGUAAGAACAAUGCUCUGCAUGAAGCCUCCUUGUGUCUGAAUUAUGGAAAGGCUUUCUUUUUCACCAGCUGAAGUUCUAAGGAGACUAACUUCAGUCCAGCGUGUGGGCUGACGCCUGUCAGCUGCCCGGGGCGCUGCUGCUGGAACACCUCCCGCAUCACUGUGCUCCUCGUCACACAGCGAGGGCUCAGCAGGAGUUGCAGGCUGUUGACGUGCUCCUGGUCUUGAUCUGAAAUUAACUGCCACGACUUGAGUCUUUGGAGAUGAUGCCAGAAGGAAGAACAGAAGACCUAUGAGAUAGCAAAGAGCAAAUAUGAUGUAGAAUUGUCCAUUGGUAGUCUUCAAAGGGAGAGGUUUGAUUUUUCUUUCACAGCAUGGUUGCUGCACCUUGCAGCCAUACAGGCUCCCAUUUACAGCUUUUGACUCACUGUUGUCUCAACAGCUCUGUGGGUUUCUUUUGCCAGGAGAGAUUCAGUACUGUAUGUGAUGAUAAAAGGCUCUUUGUUCUGCUCUGCAGCCUCCUCUGCAAGACUGAGCAAAACAGCCUUGUCACAGUUGUGGAAACUACUGAUACUGGUGCAGGAGUUUGGAGGAGAGGCAAAGAAAAGAAAGAAUCUUUUCCCGAGUUAGCUUCUGGAGUGUAAUUUCUUCGAAGGAAACUUCAUAAUUGAAAUAUUACAUAAAUACUGCACCUUUUGUAAGGGCAUAUUUGUCUAAGAUGCCCCCAUCUACUAAACUUACUUGUUUCAGAGGUCAAAAUGAUUCAUGUUUCCGUUUUCCUUCCCCUUUUUGUGUGUGGAACCAGUUCUUUAUAGCUCGUCCUUUUCUUGCUCUCAAUCUCUACCUCUGUAGGACACACUGUAUUACUCUAAUUGCUUCCAAAAUCUCUAGGUUUUGCUGUUCAUCUGAAAUACAUUUGGGAGUCCAGAUUGAUUCUUGGAAGUAUACAAUAUCGUUGUCAUCUCCAGUUAAACUAAUUUGAAGGUUUAAU
This is a long non-coding RNA of Pogoniulus pusillus (Red-fronted tinkerbird), 1505 nucleotides long. RefSeq lists it as uncharacterized. The transcript has 5 exons. Lineage: Eukaryota; Metazoa; Chordata; Aves; Piciformes; Lybiidae. The record is from RefSeq and is a predicted model, not a curated record.